GACGAACCUUGCAAACGUUAUUCGGAAUCACUGGGCUUAAAGGGUGCGUAGGCUGUGCAGAAAGUUGGGUGUGAAAUACCUCGGCUUAACCGAGGAAUUGCGCCCAAAACUACUGUGCUCGAGGAAGAUAGAGGUGAGCGGAACUUAGGGUGGAGCGGUGAAAUGCGUUGAUAUCUACAGGAACUCCGGUGGCGAAAGCGGCGUGCUGGACCUUUUCUGACGCUGAGGCGCGAAAGCUAGGGGAGCAAACGGG
Molecule: ribosomal RNA, 253 nt
Filed under: uncultured bacterium
Lineage: Bacteria
Description: partial 16S ribosomal RNA
Rfam family: Bacterial small subunit ribosomal RNA
Source: RNAcentral